UGCACUGGGGCAUCCGUGUCUCUUCUUAUCACAUGCUCAAAUCAUCUCAACUUCGCUUUCCGCAUCUUGUUUUCUACCGAAGCCACUCUCAUCUUUACUCGGAUAUCCUUAUUUUCAUUCCUAUCUCUCCUAGUAUGCCUACACAUUCAUCACAACAUCCUCAUCUCUGCUACUUUCAUAUUUUGAUCGUGUUCCAUUAACUGGCCAACACUUCGCCCCAUAAAAC
RNAcentral lists this long non-coding RNA (226 nucleotides) under Capsicum annuum. RNAcentral describes it as "long non-coding RNA (CANN_LNC011053)". The record is from RNAcentral. Lineage: Eukaryota; Viridiplantae; Streptophyta; Magnoliopsida; Solanales; Solanaceae.